This 344-nucleotide transfer-messenger RNA is filed under the name chicken gut metagenome. It matches the Rfam family "transfer-messenger RNA". Rfam says of the family: Bacterial tmRNA, also known as 10Sa RNA or SsrA, is named for its dual tRNA and mRNA-like properties. Its role is to liberate the mRNA from a stalled ribosome. To accomplish this part of the tmRNA is used as a reading frame that ends in a translation stop signal. The record is from RNAcentral.
GGGGGCGUAAAGGUUUCGACGGGGAUCUUGAAGUAUGUUAAGCGAGCAGAGCGGGUGCGGUCUCUUCAAAACGCACACUUAUAAAUUAACUAACAACAAAACUUUAGUUGCUGCUUAAUUAAAGCGGCCGUCCGGUCGGGAGGGCUACGAACCGAUGUCAGGGCGUGGAACAGUAGCGUCCGUGAGUUUAUAAAGCUUUGAAUAAGCCACGCAUCAUGAAGCUACCGAAAAAAGCAGUCGGGCAGUUGACGGCUUUUUGAGGGAAUGUAAAGAUCUGCCUACGCUCGUAGAAAGACAUGUGGACGGGUUUUCGGACAGGGGUUCGACUCCCCUCGCCUCCACCA